RNAcentral lists this ribosomal RNA (437 nucleotides) under Brevundimonas sp. Carola21. RNAcentral's name for it is "bacterial SSU rRNA". It matches the Rfam family "Bacterial small subunit ribosomal RNA", at positions 1 to 490 of the family's 1533-position model. The record is from RNAcentral. Lineage: Bacteria; Pseudomonadati; Pseudomonadota; Alphaproteobacteria; Caulobacterales; Caulobacteraceae.
UGAGUUUGAUCCUGGCUCAGAGCGAACGCUGGCGGCAGGCCUAACACAUGCAAGUCGAACGGACCCUUCGGGGUUAGUGGCGGACGGGUGAGUAACACGUGGGAACGUGCCUUUAGGUUCGGAAUAGCUCCUGGAAACGGGUGGUAAUGCCGAAUGUGCCCUUCGGGGGAAAGAUUUAUCGCCUUUAGAGCGGCCCGCGUCUGAUUAGCUAGUUGGUGAGGUAAUGGCUCACCAAGGCGACGAUCAGUAGCUGGUCUGAGAGGAUGACCAGCCACAUUGGGACUGAGACACGGCCCAAACUCCUACGGGAGGCAGCAGUGGGGAAUCUUGCGCAAUGGGCGAAAGCCUGACGCAGCCAUGCCGCGUGAAUGAUGAAGGUCUUAGGAUUGUAAAAUUCUUUCACCGGGGACGGAUAAUGACGGUACCCGGAGAAGAAG